RNAcentral lists this ribosomal RNA (497 nucleotides) under uncultured bacterium. RNAcentral describes it as "partial 16S ribosomal RNA". It matches the Rfam family "Bacterial small subunit ribosomal RNA", at positions 28 to 507 of the family's 1533-position model. The record is from RNAcentral.
GAUGAACGCUGGCGGCGUGCCUAAUACAUGCAAGUCGAGCGAACAGACGAGGAGCUUGCUCCUCUGACGUUAGCGGCGGACGGGUGAGUAACACGUGGAUAACCUACCUAUAAGACUGGGAUAACUUCGGGAAACCGGAGCUAAUACCGGAUAAUAUAUUGACCCGCAUGGUUCAAUAGUUAAAGACGGUUUUGCUGUCACUUAUAGAUGGAUCCGCGCCGCAUUAGCUAGUUGGUAAGGUAACGGCUUACCAAGGCAACGAUGCGUAGCCGACCUGAGAGGGUGAUCCGCCACACGGGAACUGAGACACGGUCCAGACUCCUACGGGAGGCAGCAGUAGGGAAUCUUCCGCAAUGGGCGAAAGCCGGACGGAGCAACGCCGCGUGAGUGAUGAAGGUCUUCGGAUCGUAAAACUCUGUUAUUAGGGAAGAACAAAUGUGUAAGUAACUAUGCACGUCUUGACGGUACCUAAUCAGAAAGCCACGGCUAACUACGUG